This is a non-coding RNA of Paramuricea clavata, 241 nucleotides long. The record is from the annotation of a GenBank genome assembly. NCBI's taxonomy places the organism in Eukaryota, Metazoa, Cnidaria, Anthozoa, Malacalcyonacea, Plexauridae.
AAACUUACUGAGUGUUAUAAAGGAUGGUUUACAUUAUCAAAGUUUCUGUGAUCACAGUAGGAAUUUUGCAUAAGUAAAUUCUAAGUUUUGAAGGUUUGUAAGAAAUGUUUGAGGAAACUUACUGAGUAUUAUAAAGGAUGGUUUACACUAUCAAAGUUUCUGUGAUCACAGUAGGAAUUUAGCAUGGGUAAAUUCUAAGUUUUGAAGGAUUUGUAAGAAAUGUUUGAGGAAACUUACUGAG